RNAcentral lists this ribosomal RNA (402 nucleotides) under uncultured bacterium. RNAcentral's name for it is "bacterial SSU rRNA". It matches the Rfam family "Bacterial small subunit ribosomal RNA", at positions 355 to 750 of the family's 1533-position model. The record is from RNAcentral.
UGGGGAAUCUUGCGCAAUGGGCGAAAGCCUGACGCAGCGACGCCGCGUGAGCGAUGAAGGCCCUCGGGUCGUAAAGCUCUGUGGGGAGGAAAGAAUAAGGACAGGCGAAUACCCUGUUUGAUGACGGUACCUCCUUAGCAAGCACCGGCUAACUCUGUGCCAGCAGCCGCGGUAAUACAGAGGGUGCAAACGUUGUUCGGAAUCACUGGGCGUAAAGCGGGUGUAGGCGGCUUGGUAAGUCGGAUGUGAAAUCCCAGGGCUCAACCCUGGACGUGCACUCGAAACUACUGAGCUUGAGUUCUGGAGAGGAAGGCGGAAUGCUUGGUGUAGAGGUGAAAUUCGUAGAUAUCAAGCGGAACACCGGUGGCGAAGGCGGCCUUCUGGACAGUGACUGACGCUGAG